RNAcentral lists this ribosomal RNA (496 nucleotides) under uncultured bacterium. RNAcentral's name for it is "partial 16S ribosomal RNA". It matches the Rfam family "Bacterial small subunit ribosomal RNA", at positions 28 to 506 of the family's 1533-position model. The record is from RNAcentral.
GAUGAACGCUGGCGGCGUGCCUAAUACAUGCAAGUCGAGCGAACGGACGAGAAGCUUGCUUCUCUGAUGUUAGCGGCGGACGGGUGAGUAACACGUGGAUAACCUACCUAUAAGACUGGGAUAACUUCGGGAAACCGGAGCUAAUACCGGAUAAUAUUUUGAACCGCAUGGUUCAAAAGUGAAAGACGGUCUUGCUGUCACUUAUAGAUGGAUCCGCGCUGCAUUAGCUAGUUGGUAAGGUAACGGCUUACCAAGGCAACGAUGCAUAGCCGACCUGAGAGGGUGAUCGGCCACACUGGAACUGAGACACGGUCCAGCCUCCUACGGGAGGCAGCAGUAGGGAAUCUUCCGCAAUGGGCGAAAGCCUGACGGAGCAACGCCGCGUGAGUGAUGAAGGUCUUCGGAUCGUAAAACUCUGUUAUUAGGGAAGAACAUAUGUGUAAGUAACUGUGCACAUCUUGACGGUACCUAAUCAGAAAGCCACGGCUAACUACGU